GGGCCCGCACAAGCGGUGGAGCAUGUGGCUUAAUUCGAGGCAACGCGAAGAACCUUACCUGGGCUUGAAAUAUAGAGGACAGUCCGUGAAAGCGGAUCUUCCUUCGGGACUUCUAUACAGGUGCUGCAUGGCUGUCGUCAGCUCGUGCCGUGAGGUGUUCGGUUAAGUCCGGCAACGAGCGCAACCCGUAUCUUCAGUUGCCAGCAGGUAAAGCUGGGGACUCUGAAGAGACUGCCCGUGUUAAGCGGGAGGAAGGCGCGGAUGACGUCAAGUCAGUAUGGCCCUUACGUCCAGGGCUGCACACGUGCUACAAUGGGCGGUACAAUGAGACGCAAAAUCGCGAGAUGGAGCAAAUCUACAAAACCGUUCUUAGUUCAGAUUGCAGUCUGCAACUCGACUGCAUGAAGUCGGAAUCGCUAGUAAAGGCGUAUCAGCUACGACGCCUUGAAUACGUUCCCGGGCCUU
RNAcentral lists this ribosomal RNA (465 nucleotides) under uncultured bacterium. Its description in RNAcentral is "bacterial SSU rRNA". It matches the Rfam family "Bacterial small subunit ribosomal RNA", at positions 917 to 1382 of the family's 1533-position model. The record is from RNAcentral.